This 292-nucleotide ribosomal RNA is filed under the name uncultured bacterium. RNAcentral describes it as "partial 16S ribosomal RNA". The record is from RNAcentral.
GGACUACCAGGGUAUCUAAUCCCGUUCGCUCCCCCAGCUUUCGCGUCUCAGCGUCAAGAAUGCCCCAGGAGACCGCCUUCGCCACUGGUGUUCCUACCGAUCUCUACGCAUUUCACCGCUACACCGGUAAUUCCAUCUCCCCCUAGCACCUUCAAGACUGCCAGUAUCCACCGACCCUCCGAGGUUGAGCCUCGGGCUUUCACAGCGGACUUGGCAACCCGCCUACACGCGCUUUACGCCCAGUAACUUCGGACAACGCUCGCCCCCUCCGUAUUACCGCGGCUGCUGGCAC